AGAGUUUGAUCCUGGCUCAGAACGAACGCUGGCGGCGUGCCUAACACAUGCAAGUCCAACGUGAAAGGGGAGCAAUCCCCCGGUAGGGUGGCAAACGGGUGAGUAAGACAUGGGUGAUCUACCUUAGGGAUGGGGAUAUCCUUCCGAAAGGAGGGGCAAUACCGAAUAUUGUCCGGGACCGUGAAGGGUUCCGGGGAAAGGGAGGCCUCUGAUACAAGCUUUCGCCUUAAGAUGAGCCCAUGGCCCAUCAGCUAGUUGGUAGGGUAAAGGCCUACCAAGGCUACGACGGGUCGCUGGUCUGAGAGGACGACCAGCCACACUGGCACUGAGAUACGGGCCAGACUCCUACGGGAGGCAGCAGUGAGGAAUAUUGCGCAAUGGGGGAAACCCUGACGCAGCAACGCCGCGUGUGGGAAGAAGGCCUUCGGGUCGUAAACCACUUUUACUCGGGACGAAAAAGGGAUAUCAAAUAAAUAUCCCCGAUGACGGUACCGUGAGAAUAAGCCACGGCUAACUCUGUGCCAGCAGCCGCGGUAAGACAGAGGUGGCAAGCGUUGUUCGGAAUUACUGGGCGUAAAGAGUCUGUAGGUGGUUUGUCAAGUCUUUGGUGAAAGGCCGUAGCUUAACUAUGGGAAUGCCAAAGAGACUGGCAGGCUGGAGGCUGGGAGAGGGAAGCGGAAUUUCUGGUGUAGCGGUGAAAUGCGUAGAUAUCAGAAGGAAGGCCGGUGGCGAAGGCGGCUUCCUGGAACAGUCCUGACACUGAGAGACGAAAGCGUGGGGAGCAAACAGGAUUAGAUACCCUGGUAGUC
Molecule: ribosomal RNA, 809 nt
Filed under: uncultured bacterium
Lineage: Bacteria
Description: bacterial SSU rRNA
Rfam family: Bacterial small subunit ribosomal RNA
Source: RNAcentral